AUCUUUUUAAUAUAAAUUAGUAUAUUUGACUUCCAAUCAAAAUGUCCAGUUGUGGGAAAGAUA
Molecule: transfer RNA, 63 nt
Filed under: Daphnia similis
Lineage: Eukaryota; Metazoa; Arthropoda; Branchiopoda; Diplostraca; Daphniidae
Description: tRNA-Gly
Source: RNAcentral